Molecule: ribosomal RNA, 330 nt
Filed under: uncultured Pseudomonas sp.
Lineage: Bacteria; Pseudomonadati; Pseudomonadota; Gammaproteobacteria; Pseudomonadales; Pseudomonadaceae
Description: bacterial SSU rRNA
Rfam family: Bacterial small subunit ribosomal RNA
Source: RNAcentral
GUCAGCUCGUGUCGUGAGAUGUUGGGUUAAGUCCCGUAACGAGCGCAACCCUUGUCCUUAGUUACCAGCACGUUAUGGUGGGCACUCUAAGGAGACUGCCGGUGACAAACCGGAGGAAAGGUGGGGAUGACGUCAAGUCAUCAUGGCCCUUACGGCCUGGGCUACACACGUGCUACAAUGGUCGGUACAAAGGGUUGCCAAGCCGCGAGGUGGAGCUAAUCCCAUAAAACCGAUCGUAGUCCGGAUCGCAGUCUGCAACUCGACUGCGUGAAGUCGGAAUCGCUAGUAAUCGUGAAUCAGAAUGUCACGGUGAAUACGUUCCCGGGCCUU